UUUUGGAGUGCUGGGCUUGUUACUCUGUAGACUUUUUUACAGUUUUUAAUGCCACCGACUACUGCUUACUGGACGCUUGUGGUACACUGGCCACAAUGCUAACCACACAAUUACAGCGUUCACUCAACAUAAUUCCUCGAAGUGGAAUAGCUGUGUUCAAGGAUGUGUGCAUUUUACUCUCAAUAUGUGUGGCCAAAAUGCCCUCCUCCAAAAAGCGGAAUCAAUUUACACUCCCUUUACAGCCAGCUUAGAAGAGUUUAUUUUCCUCCAUCUGUGCCAACAAUAAGGUAGAGAUUUAAACUCCGAGCAAGGUGCCCAGUGGGGAAAGGAGCUAUACCAAGGCCAUCCUGU
Molecule: long non-coding RNA, 351 nt
Organism: Hyaena hyaena (striped hyena)
Lineage: Eukaryota; Metazoa; Chordata; Mammalia; Carnivora; Hyaenidae
Exons: 3
Source: RefSeq, a predicted model, not a curated record